AAAUUAUUUUUGGGUUUACGGUUUUUAAGUCUUUACAAUGUUUUAUUCUCAUAUUGUUUGACAAUUUUUCAUCUUUUGAUGGCAUAUUUUCAUUCAAUAGAUGGACUUAUUAUUUAUUACAGGUUUUACUAAUUUCUCAAAAUCUCUCAAUUCGUGAUAUCGAUUCCCUUUUAGUGUGGUAUACAUUGUAAUCUUGUUUCAUCCAUGACAAUCACUCACUCUUGUUUUGUUCUUAUCAUGUAGUAAUUUCACACAAUCCCACCACAUGCUUGAUGAAACAUUGCAAUGCUCUUGAUAAAAAUAAUUUUGUGGCAAUUAUAAGGCGUUUACAAACUAUGAAAACCUGUAGGCAGCAAUUGUAAUAACUUGUUGCAUUUUCUAUAGUAUUGUGCAUUGUUUUGGUUGAUUUUCCUUUUGGGUACUCAAGUCUUGUCCUCACUGGAUUGAAAUUGUAAACCUGCCGCUGGUUCAAAGGCUUGUAAUUUUGAAGUGAAAUACUAAUCGUCACAGAUGAAGCUUGUGGUUGUUUGAAUGAUUUCAUUUUCUCAAAUUUUCUAAUAAAAUAUUAUAUAAAUGAUUCUGAUGCUACCAAAAAAUAUCACCCGAAAGAUCUCGAGCUUGAUGGUUUAACUUCACUUUGAUGGACACAAUCGGUCUGUGAAUACCUGCAACAAAGGCAACGAGGUAUGUGCUAGUCGCCGCUCCAGUCAGAUAGGGAAUUUAGUGCGUGAGGCUAUAAACUGAAGAUAAUGAAAAUGUACCUUGAUGUUGAGCAUUGGCCAAGUAUUUAUAGGUGUUGGUGGGGGGAGCUGUAGAAGGAUUCUAUUAUUGAAAGAGUCAUUUUCCCCUUAGGAUUAGGUGUUGGAGUUUGAUUAGAAGUAUACUGUUAGAGUUCUAAUCAGGGAAGGAGUAGACUUGGGUGGGGUCUAUUUUUUUGGAGAUUAAGUCGGUGGGCAGGAUCGGAUUAGAAAUAACCCCGACCUUAAGGAAACCCCAACCUCAAACCGGCAUAACACACUAAGAUCAACUCGGGGGUCUUAGGUCGAGGUUGAGCAUGGUGGGCAAAUUCAGGUCUAGUUCGGGGUUACCAAUCCGGAAUCAUCAUAGGCCCCCGUGCAUCUAAGUUGUAGAUCGUGCAGGGUAUACGAUCUCGGAUUGAGAUGCAAAAAGGAUGUCGUAGCAUGAUAUCGACCUCAACACCUGUGAUUUACCUGUUGGAGAUAUACUAUGUCACGGGUCUGUCAUGUGGCUGGUUGUCAGAGCUCGAACUUGGAUCUUUG
This 1280-nucleotide long non-coding RNA is filed under the name Olea europaea subsp. europaea. The record is from RNAcentral. Lineage: Eukaryota; Viridiplantae; Streptophyta; Magnoliopsida; Lamiales; Oleaceae.